AAUAAUUGAUGGAGCAACAGUUCUGCGUGAAGCGGGUCAGGGGAGGAAUCCAGCAGCCCUAAGCGAUGUGAAUUGUGUGCUCUUUUUUUUGUGCUUUA
This 98-nucleotide signal recognition particle RNA is filed under the name Streptococcus sp. HMSC061D10. RNAcentral describes it as "signal recognition particle sRNA small type". The stretch from base 6 to 91 matches the Rfam family "Bacterial small signal recognition particle RNA". From Rfam's summary of the family: The signal recognition particle (SRP) is a universally conserved ribonucleoprotein involved in the co-translational targeting of proteins to membranes. Archaeal SRP consists of a 7S RNA and homologues of the eukaryotic SRP19 and SRP54 proteins. Lineage: Bacteria; Bacillati; Bacillota; Bacilli; Lactobacillales; Streptococcaceae. The record is from RNAcentral.